Molecule: ribosomal RNA, 438 nt
Filed under: uncultured bacterium
Lineage: Bacteria
Description: bacterial SSU rRNA
Rfam family: Bacterial small subunit ribosomal RNA
Source: RNAcentral
CUACGGGAGGCAGCAGUGGGGAAUCUUGCGCAAUGGGCGAAAGCCUGACGCAGCAACGCUGCGUGCGGGAUGAAGGCUCUCGGGUCGUAAACCGCUUUCAGUAGGGACGAAACUGACUGUACCUACAGAAGAAGCCCCGGCUAAAUACGUGCCAGCAGCCGCGGUAAUACGUAUGGGGCAAGCGUUAUCCGGAUUCAUUGGGCGCAAAGAGCGCGUAGGCGGCUUGUUAAGUCAGGUGUGAAAACUGGGGGCUCAACCCGCAGCGUGCAUCUGAAACUGGCAGGCUUGAGUCUGGUAGAGGAAAGUGGAAUUCCCAGUGUAGCGGUGAAAUGCGCAGAUAUUGGGAGGAACACCAGUGGCGAAGGCGGCUUUCUGGGCCACGACUGACGCUGAGGCGCGAAAGCUAGGGGAGCAAACAGGCUUAGAUACCCCGGUAGC